Molecule: unclassified non-coding RNA, 666 nt
Filed under: Hevea brasiliensis (rubber tree)
Lineage: Eukaryota; Viridiplantae; Streptophyta; Magnoliopsida; Malpighiales; Euphorbiaceae
Source: RNAcentral
GCUGCUGAUGCCAAGUUCACUUUUCCUGUAAUAGACCUUGGAGGCGUUGAUCAAGAUUUAGCUUUGCGCAAGGAGAUUGUUGACAAGGUACGAAAUGCUUCAGAGACUUGGGGAUUUUUUGAAGUGAUCAAUCAUGGGAUUCCUGUGACUGUCCUGGAGGAGAUGAAGGAUGGGGCUCAUACGUUUUACCAGCAAGAUAUUGAGGUGAAACAGGAGUUUUACUCUCGUGAUCUCACGAAAAAGAUUGUGUACAAUAGCAACUUUGAUCUGUACAAUUCCCCAUCAGCUAAUUGGAGAGAUACUAUUGUUUUUCAAAUGGCACCUGAUCCUCCCAAGCCAGAAGAGCUGCCAACUGCAUGCAGGUAAGCAUCAAAACUAUCUAAUUUCUGUCAAAUUUUAAUAUGUGACCUGCUCACUUUCGGACAGUUAUUCUUUUCUGAGAUUCUAUCAUGUUUUGGGCUUGGAGAUGAAAUCAAAAUAAAAUCUUGGAAAUAUUAUGUUUAAUUUCCUUCUUCUAAUUUAUAAAAAGAAUUUUCUAAACAAAAUUUAUUGUGCAGAGAUAUAGUAGUUAAGUACUCCAAGGAAGUUAUAAAAUUGGGAAAUUUACUAUUCCAGUUAUUAUCAGAGGCUCUUGGUCUGAAUCCAAACCACUUGAAAGACAUGGAU